GACGAACGCUGGCGGCGUGCUUAACACAUGCAAGUCGAACGCUGAAGCUUGGUGCUUGCACUGGGUGGAUGAGUGGCGAACGGGUGAGUAAUAAGUGAGUAACCUGCCCUUGACUCUGGGAUAAGCCUGGGAAACUGGGUUUAAUACUGGAUACGACAUGUCACCGCAUGGUGGUGUGUGGAAAGGGUUUUACUGGUUUUGGAUGGGCUCACGGCCUAUCAGCUUGUUGGUGGGGUAAUGGCUCACCAAGGCGACGACGGGUAGCCGGCCUGAGAGGGUGACCGGCCACACUGGGACUGAGACACGGCCCAGACUCCUACGGGAGGCAGCAGUGGGGAAUAUUGCACAAUGGGCGGAAGCCUGAUGCAGCGACGCCGCGUGAGGGAUGACGGCCUUCGGGUUGUAAACCUCUUUCAGCACGGAAGAAGCGAAAGUGACGGUACGUGCAGAAGAAGCGCCGGCUAACUACGUG
RNAcentral lists this ribosomal RNA (472 nucleotides) under uncultured bacterium. RNAcentral describes it as "partial 16S ribosomal RNA". It matches the Rfam family "Bacterial small subunit ribosomal RNA", at positions 28 to 507 of the family's 1533-position model. The record is from RNAcentral.